This 490-nucleotide ribosomal RNA is filed under the name uncultured bacterium. RNAcentral's name for it is "partial 16S ribosomal RNA". It matches the Rfam family "Bacterial small subunit ribosomal RNA", at positions 28 to 507 of the family's 1533-position model. The record is from RNAcentral.
GAUGAACGCUAGCUACAGGCUUAACACAUGCAAGUCGCGGGGCAGCAUGGGGGUUGCUUGCCAUCCCUGAUGGCGACCGGCGCACGGGUGAGUAACGCGUAUCCAACCUGCCCUUCACCACGGGAUAACCCGGCGAAAGUCGGACUAAUACCGUAUGUUGUCCAUUGACGGCAUCCGAUUUGGACGAAAGGCUUAGCGGUGAGGGAUGGGGAUGCGUCCGAUUAGCUUGACGGCGGGGUAACGGCCCACCGUGGCUACGAUCGGUAGGGGUUCUGAGAGGAAGGUCCCCCACACUGGAACUGAGACACGGUCCAGACUCCUACGGGAGGCAGCAGUGAGGAAUAGUGGGCAAUGGGCGUAAGCCUGAACCAGCCAAGUAGCGUGCAGGAUGACGGCCCUAUGGGUUGUAAACUGCUUUUAUGCGGGGAUAAAGGGACCCACGUGUGGGUUUUUGCAGGUACCGCAUGAAUAAGGACCGGCUAAUUCCGUG